RNAcentral lists this ribosomal RNA (2188 nucleotides) under Escherichia coli. RNAcentral's name for it is "partial 23S ribosomal RNA". It matches the Rfam family "Bacterial large subunit ribosomal RNA", at positions 1 to 2215 of the family's 2925-position model. Lineage: Bacteria; Pseudomonadati; Pseudomonadota; Gammaproteobacteria; Enterobacterales; Enterobacteriaceae. The record is from RNAcentral.
GUUAAGCGACUAAGCGUACACGGUGGAUGCCCUGGCAGUCAGAGGCGAUGAAGGACGUGCUAAUCUGCGAUAAGCGUCGGUAAGGUGAUAUGAACCGUUAUAACCGGCGAUUUCCGAAUGGGGAAACCCAGUGUGAUUCGUCACACUAUCAUUAACUGAAUCCAUAGGUUAAUGAGGCGAACCGGGGGAACUGAAACAUCUAAGUACCCCGAGGAAAAGAAAUCAACCGAGAUUCCCCCAGUAGCGGCGAGCGAACGGGGAGCAGCCCAGAGCCUGAAUCAGUGUGUGUGUUAGUGGAAGCGUCUGGAAAGGCGCGCGAUACAGGGUGACAGCCCCGUACACAAAAAUGCACAUGCUGUGAGCUCGAUGAGUAGGGCGGGACACGUGGUAUCCUGUCUGAAUAUGGGGGGACCAUCCUCCAAGGCUAAAUACUCCUGACUGACCGAUAGUGAACCAGUACCGUGAGGGAAAGGCGAAAAGAACCCCGGCGAGGGGAGUGAAAAAGAACCUGAAACCGUGUACGUACAAGCAGUGGGAGCACGCUUAGGCGUGUGACUGCGUACCUUUUGUAUAAUGGGUCAGCGACUUAUAUUCUGUAGCAAGGUUAACCGAAUAGGGGAGCCGAAGGGAAACCGAGUCUUAACUGGGCGUUAAGUUGCAGGGUAUAGACCCGAAACCCGGUGAUCUAGCCAUGGGCAGGUUGAAGGUUGGGUAACACUAACUGGAGGACCGAACCGACUAAUGUUGAAAAAUUAGCGGAUGACUUGUGGCUGGGGGUGAAAGGCCAAUCAAACCGGGAGAUAGCUGGUUCUCCCCGAAAGCUAUUUAGGUAGCGCCUCGUGAAUUCAUCUCCGGGGGUAGAGCACUGUUUCGGCAAGGGGGUCAUCCCGACUUACCAACCCGAUGCAAACUGCGAAUACCGGAGAAUGUUAUCACGGGAGACACACGGCGGGUGCUAACGUCCGUCGUGAAGAGGGAAACAACCCAGACCGCCAGCUAAGGUCCCAAAGUCAUGGUUAAGUGGGAAACGAUGUGGGAAGGCCCAGACAGCCAGGAUGUUGGCUUAGAAGCAGCCAUCAUUUAAAGAAAGCGUAAUAGCUCACUGGUCGAGUCGGCCUGCGCGGAAGAUGUAACGGGGCUAAACCAUGCACCGAAGCUGCGGCAGCGACGCUUAUGCGUUGUUGGGUAGGGGAGCGUUCUGUAAGCCUGUGAAGGUGUGCUGUGAGGCAUGCUGGAGGUAUCAGAAGUGCGAAUGCUGACAUAAGUAACGAUAAAGCGGGUGAAAAGCCCGCUCGCCGGAAGACCAAGGGUUCCUGUCCAACGUUAAUCGGGGCAGGGUGAGUCGACCCCUAAGGCGAGGCCGAAAGGCGUAGUCGAUGGGAAACAGGUUAAUAUUCCUGUACUUGGUGUUACUGCGAAGGGGGGACGGAGAAGGCUAUGUUGGCCGGGCGACGGUUGUCCCGGUUUAAGCGUGUAGGCUGGUUUUCCAGGCAAAUCCGGAAAAUCAAGGCUGAGGCGUGAUGACGAGGCACUACGGUGCUGAAGCAACAAAUGCCCUGCUUCCAGGAAAAGCCUCUAAGCAUCAGGUAACAUCAAAUCGUACCCCAAACCGACACAGGUGGUCAGGUAGAGAAUACCAAGGCGCUUGAGAGAACUCGGGUGAAGGAACUAGGCAAAAUGGUGCCGUAACUUCGGGAGAAGGCACGCUGAUAUGUAGGUGAAGCGACUUGCUCGUGGAGCUGAAAUCAGUCGAAGAUACCAGCUGGCUGCAACUGUUUAUUAAAAACACAGCACUGUGCAAACACGAAAGUGGACGUAUACGGUGUGACGCCUGCCCGGUGCCGGAAGGUUAAUUGAUGGGGUUAGCGCAAGCGAAGCUCUUGAUCGAAGCCCCGGUAAACGGCGGCCGUAACUAUAACGGUCCUAAGGUAGCGAAAUUCCUUGUCGGGUAAGUUCCGACCUGCACGAAUGGCGUAAUGAUGGCCAGGCUGUCUCCACCCGAGACUCAGUGAAAUUGAACUCGCUGUGAAGAUGCAGUGUACCCGCGGCAAGACGGAAAGACCCCGUGAACCUUUACUAUAGCUUGACACUGAACAUUGAGCCUUGAUGUGUAGGAUAGGUGGGAGGCUUUGAAGUGUGGACGCCAGUCUGCAUGGAGCCGACCUUGAAAUACCACCCUUUAAUGUUU